Molecule: small nuclear RNA, 107 nt
Organism: Dromiciops gliroides (monito del monte)
Lineage: Eukaryota; Metazoa; Chordata; Mammalia; Microbiotheria; Microbiotheriidae
Source: RefSeq, a predicted model, not a curated record
GUGCUCGCUUCGGCAGCAUAUAUACUAAAAUUGGAAAGAUACAGAGAAGAUUAGCAUGACCCCUGCGCAUGGAUGGAGUGCAAAUUCGUGAAGCGUUAAAAUGAACU